GGGGACAUAGCUCAGUUGGGAGAGCAGUAGACUGAAGCUGGUGUUCUAAAGGUCCCGCGUUCGAUCCGCGGUGUCCCCA
This 79-nucleotide transfer RNA is filed under the name Fistulina hepatica ATCC 64428. It matches the Rfam family "tRNA". Rfam says of the family: Transfer RNA (tRNA) molecules are approximately 80 nucleotides in length. Their secondary structure includes four short double-helical elements and three loops (D, anti-codon, and T loops). The record is from Rfam by way of RNAcentral. Lineage: Eukaryota; Fungi; Basidiomycota; Agaricomycetes; Agaricales; Fistulinaceae.